This 73-nucleotide transfer RNA is filed under the name Stegodyphus mimosarum. It matches the Rfam family "tRNA". From Rfam's summary of the family: Transfer RNA (tRNA) molecules are approximately 80 nucleotides in length. Their secondary structure includes four short double-helical elements and three loops (D, anti-codon, and T loops). The record is from Rfam by way of RNAcentral. Lineage: Eukaryota; Metazoa; Arthropoda; Arachnida; Araneae; Eresidae.
GCCUUCGUGGCGUAGUGGUCAGCACGCUGGGCGCGUAUUCCAGAGGUCCGUGGUUCGAGUCCUGGCGAAGGCG